CACCACGCCCAGCUAAUUUUUGUAUUUUUAGUAGACACAGGGUUUCACUUUGUUGGCCAGGCUUGUCUCAAACUCUUGACCUCAAGUGAUCCACCCACCUCAGCCUCCCAGAGUGCUGGGAUUACAGGUGUGAGCCACUGUGUCUGGCCUGAAUCCCUUAGUUCUGAUUGUAAGUUACUUAGGGGAAGAGCUCAUUUGCUGAGUUUGGAUCAGGUAUUAAAUCUUAGCCUAUGACCAUAUUUUACAAUUAUUACUGCUCUUACCAUAGGUGGUAUGAGGGCAAAGGGGUUGGAUUGGUGUGAAGAAGCUGGGAAGACAAAUCUACAACGUCCAUUAUAAAGGCAUGGCUAUGAUUCAGAAUCACUGGAUAAUUUGUUUAAACAACAAACAUUUACUGAGCUCAUAGCAGGUGUCCUACUGGGCAGGGAAUAAAAAUUAAGCAGGAUAAAUGUGGUCCCUGGUUACAAGAUGCUUAAAAUAUUCUGUUUGAUUCUUGAUGACUUUUCAGAAAAUCAUGUUCACUUAUAGAUUGAGUGACGGAAGAACUAGUGAAACCAGAUGUUGAGAAGGGAUAUUUUCAAAGGCUUUGUUCUCUGUAAGAAUCCAGUAAUUUUAUCCUCUUUAUUUUACUGCCAGUAAGGAGCAGAUGAUGAUAACAGAAAGACUGCACAGUGUGUGUGUAUGGUGGCGGUGGGGGGUGCGGGGGCAGAAAAGGGCGGGUAGAGAAGGAGAUAAAAGUGGGUGAGGGUGGGAGAGAAAAGAUGAAAGGGAAAACAAAGGAUGAGGUUUUACAUAACAUUGCUAAAUUCUUCAACGUUCCUAAUACCUCCUUAUUUUCAUACUUGUUCUUAUGGUGAUGCAGGGUUCUUUUCUACAUUUUGGUUGCUCACUUCCCAAAGCUCUUUACAGACAUAAACUCUAAGAAUCCACAAAGAUAAUAACCCUUGUCAAUACCACUAGGAAUUUUGAAAAUUAUUGGUUUCACAUUGUCAUUAUCUGUACCUCAUUUUGCUAAGUACACACAUGAAUUCCCUGUUGUCAAGACUGUGUAGUCUAAGACAAACCACGUUAUUUUAUGUCAUUAAAACAAUUGAAUACAUUUAUUAAAUCAAGGUAGAGUGACAAUUCCCAUAUUUAAUUUUACCUGUGGCUACAAAGGUUUUUCCAGAUAUAGACAUCAAAAAAUACAAUGUGUGAUGACUGAAGAGUUAGUGAAAAAGCAACAUUUCUAAAUUGAAAAAUUGAUUUUUGGUGCAUUCCAAAGUUUCCUUUCAGUAGAAUCUUGUUUCUAAGAUUACAAUUUCAAAUGUCAUUUCUAUUGGAUUUGAACUAAUUACUGAUUAGGCUGAAAGUGUGUGACUUCUUUACGGGUCCUCUCUUACUACCUAAAAGGUAAACCUCUAUUUGUAAACUAACUUGGGGUGAGAUGUGAGUGUGUGUGUGUGUGUGCAUGCCUGCAAUAUCCUUCACACCGUCCCUUAGAUAUUGUCCUAGAGUGAAUAGAGGUUGCCGGUUUAGACUGUGUGUUGUGACAAGUGUGAGGAUUAUGAAGCUCUUUUAUAAAAUUUCUAUGAAAGACUGUCUAAUAGAUGUGAAUGUAGCUGUAAAAAUACACUUGACUUAUUUUUUUUGGUUCUCUACUAUUUAUUUGGUGGAAAUAUCUUGAGGUUCUGUGGUAGCAAAUAGUUGAAGAAAUCCACUCACCACACUCAUUCCAUAUUCAAAACAACAACAGCAACAUUAGAGGCAGCAGAAUAAGCCACACAGGCUCAUGGUACUCAGAUAAUUCAGAGACAUUAUCAACUAAAUAAGAUCCCAGACUUCAGAAAUAAAGUGAAGUACUUUAAACAGACUAUAAAUUUUAAAACUAGAAUUUCAAAAUUAAUAGUAUGUAUCCUGUGACUAUUUUAUAUCAAAUUAUAUAAAUGUGAAUAUUAGGAUGUUCAUUCUAACUGAUUUCAUAAGAUAUAUACAGGCUUAUCAUUACAAAGUAUUUUAUAUUGGCAUGGGACACUUGCAAAUAUAUUUUUAAUUUUUUCAAUGCAUUUUUAAAAAAUAUUUUAAGUUCUGGGAUACAUGUGCAGGAUAUGCACGUUUGUUACAUAAGUACAUGAUGGUUUGCUGCACCUAUCAAUCCAUUACCUAGGUAUUAAGUCCCACAUGCAUUAGCUAUUUAUCCUGAUGCUCUCCCUCCCCCCACACCCCUAACAGGGCCCAGUGUGUGUUGUUCCACUCCCUGUGUCCAUGUGUUCUCAUUAUUCAGCUCCCAGUUAUAAGUGAGAACAUGUGGUGUUUGAUUUUCUGUUUCUGUUUUAGUUUACUGAGGAUAAUGGCUUCCAGCUCCAUCCAUGUCCCUGCAAAGAAGAUGAUCUUGUUUUUUAUGGCUGCAUAGUAUUCCAUGGUGUAUAUGUACCACAUUUUCUUUAUCCAGUUUAUCAUUGAUGGGCAUUUGUGUUAAAUCCAUGCCUUUGCUAUUGUAAAUAGUGCUGCAAUGAACAUACACAUGCAUGUGUCUUUAUAAUAGAAUGAUUUAUAUUCCCUUGGGCAUAUACCCAAUAAUGGGAUUGCUGAGUCAAAUGGUAUUUCUGGUUCUAGGUCUUUCAGGAAUCACCACACUGUCUUCCACAAUGGUUGAACUAAUUUACGUUCCUACCAACAGUGUAAAAGUGUUUCUGUUUCUCCAUAGCCUCACCGGCAUCUGUUGUUUCUUUACUUUUUAAUAAUCACUAUUCUGACUGGUGGUCAUUGUGGUUUUGAUUUGCAUUUUUCUAAUGACCAGUUAUGUUGAACUUUUUUUCAUAUGUUUGUUGGCCACAUGAAUGUCUUCUUUUGAGAAGUGUCUGUUCAUGUCCUUUGCCCACUUUUUAAUGAGGUUGAAUUUUUCUUGUAAAUUGGUUUAAGUUCCUUGUAGAUUCUGGAUAUUAGACUUUUAUCAGAUGGAUAGAUUGCAAAAAUUAUCUCUCAUUCUGUAGGUUAUCUGUUUACUCUGAUGAUAGUUUUGUUUUUCUGUCUAGAAGCUCUUUAGUUUAAUGAGAUCCCAUUUUUAAAUUUUGCUUUUUUUGCAAUCACUUUGGGUGUUUUCAUCAUGAAAUAUUUGCCUGUGCCUAUUCCUAAAUCAUAUUCCCUAGAUUUUCUUCUAGGGUUUUUAUAGUUUAGCGUUUUACAUUUAAGUCUUUAAUCUAUCUUGAGUUAAUUUUUGUAUAAGGUGUAAGGAAAGGGUCCAGUUUCAAUUUUCCAGUUUUGAGAAUCCUUUCCCCAUUGCUUGCUUUUGUCAGGUUUGUUGAAGAUCAAAUGGUUGUAGAUGCACAGUCUUAUUUCUGAGAUUUCUCUUCUGUUUCAUUGGUCUAUGUAUCUGUUUUUUUACUGGUACCAUGCUGUUUGGUUACUGUAGCUUUGUAGUAUAGUUUGAAGUCAGGUAGUGUGAUGCCUGCAGCUUUGUUCUUUUUGCUUAGAAUUGUUUUGGCUAUAAAGGGUCUUUUUUGGUUCCACAUGAAUUUAAAGGUAUUUUUCUUCUAAUUCUGUGAAGAAUGUCAAUGGUAUUUUAAUGGGAAUAGCAAUGAAUCUAUAAAUUAUCUUGGGCACUAUGGCCAUUUUCACGAUAUUUAUUCUUCCUAUGCAUGAUACUGAAAUGUUUUACCAUUUGUUUGUGUCCUCACUUAUUUCCAUGAGCAGUGGUUUAUAGUUCUCCUUGAUAAGAUCCUUGACUUCCUUUGUUAGCUGUAUUUCUAGGUAUUUUAUUCUCUUUGUAGCAAUUAUGAAUGGUAGUUCAUUCAUGAUUUGGCUCUCUGCUUGUCUAUCAUUGGUGUAUGGGAAUGUUUAUAAUUUUUGCAUAUUGAUUUUGUAUCCUGAGACUUUGCUGAAGUUGCUUAUCAGCUUAAGAAGCUUUUGGGCUGAGAUUAUGGGGUUUUCUAGAUACAGGAUCAUGUCAACUGUGAACAGAGCUGGUUUGACUUCCUGUCUUCCCAUUUGAAUAUCCUUUAUUUCUUUUUCUUGCCUGAUUGUUUUGGCCGGAAAUUCCCAUACUGUGUUGAAUAGGAGUAGUGAGAGAGGGCAUCAUUUUCUUGUGCUGGUUUUCAAGAUGAAUACUUCCAACUUUUGUCCAUUCAGUAUAAUAUUGGCUGCGGGUUUGCCAUAAAUGGCACUAAUUAUUUUGAGGUAUGUUCCAUUAAUAUUUAAUUUAUUGAGAGUUUUUACUAUGAAGGUAUGUUGAAUUUUAUCAAAGGCCUUUUCUGCUUCUAUUGAGAUAAUAAUGUGGUUUUUCUUUAGUUCUGUUUAUGUGAUGAUUUACAUUUAUUGAUUUGUGUAUGUUGAACCAGCCUUGCAUCCUGAGAUGAAGCCUAUUUGAUCAUCGUAGAUAAGCUUUUUGAUGUGCUGCUGAAUUCACGUUGCCUGUAUUUUAUUGAAUAUUUUCACACUGAUGUUCAUCAGGGAUAUUGGCUUGAAGUUUUCUUUUUUCAUUGUAUCUCUGCCAGUUUUUGGUAUUAGGAUAUUGCUGGCCUCAUAAAAUUAGUUAGGGAGGAGUCUCUCCUUUUUGUUGCUUGGAAUAGUUUCAGAAGAAAUUGUCCCAGCUCUCUUUGUACCUCUGGUAGAAUUCAGCUCUCAAUCCAUCUGGUCCUGGGCUUUUGUUUUGGUUGGUAGGUUAUUUAUUACUGCCUCAAUUUCAGAACUCGUUGUUGUUCUAUUGAGGGAUUCAACUGCUUCCAGAUUCAGUCCUGAGAGGGUGUAUGUGCCCAGGAAUUUAUCCAUUUCUUCUCAGUUUUCUAGUUUAUUUGCAUAGAGGUGUUUAUAGUAUUCUCUGAUGGUUGUUUAUAUUUCUGUGAAGUCAGUGGUUAUAUCCCCUAUAUCAUUUUUUGUGUCUAUUUUAUUCUUCCUUUUUCUUUAUUCUAUCUGUUUUAGCAGACUAUAUAUUUUGUUAUAAUUAAAAAAAAAAAUCAGCUCCUGGAUUCAUUAAUUUUUUGAAAGGUUCUUCCUGUCUCUAUCUCUUUCAAUUACACUCUGAUCUUGGGUAUUUUUUGUCUUCUGCUAGCCUUGGGGUUUGUUUCCUCUUGGUUCUCUAGUUCUUUUAGUUGUGAUGUUAGGGUGUCAAUUGGAGAUCUGUCUAGCUUUUUGAUGUUGGUAUCCAAUGCUAUAAAUUUUCCUCUGAACAUGGCUUUAGCUGUGUCCCAGAGAUUCUGGUAUGUUGUCUCUUUGUUCUCGCUGGUAUCAAAGAACUUGAUUUCUGCCUUAAUUUCAUUAUUUACCCAGGAGACACUCAAGGGAAGAUUAUUCAAUUUACAUGUAGUUGUGUGGUAUUGAGUGAGUUUUAGAAUUUUGAGUUCUCCCUUCCCCCUCUUCCCCACCAUCCCUGUAGCCAAUGGAGGACUGUAUUAGUCAGCUUGGGCUUCAUAGCAAAAUGCCACAGUCUGGGUGGCUUAUACAACAUAUAUUUGUUUCUCACAAUUUUCGAUGCUGGGAAGGUCAAGGUCAAUGUGCCAGCCAGGUAGGUUUCAUUCUGAGGCCUCUUCUUUUGUGUUAUAGACUGCUGCCAUAUUGCUGUGUGCUUGCAAAACUUCUUUUAGUGUUUACUGAGAGCAAGCAUGCCCUUUGAUGUCUCUUCCUAUAAGGACAUUAAUCCUAUUGGAUCAGAGCCUCAACCUUAUGAUCUCAUUUAACUUCAAUUACUCCUAUAGAGGCCUCAUCCCCAAAUACAGCCAACUGGAGUUUAGAAUUUAAACAUUUGAAUCUAGGGGAACACAAACAUUCAGUCUGUGAUGGAAACCAGGUCUAGGAAUAUUGGUAAAGAUAAUAUUGCUAUUGCUACCAUCUUAUUUAAGAUUAUUUCUGUCUCUUGCUUGAAUAAUGUGAAAGUUUAUAAAGUGAUCUACAAUCUUUAUUUCUUCCAUUCUAUACUCAUAAGUGCCUUGGAUUGAUCAUAAUAUGUAAACUUGAUAAUUUACUUCCAUGCCAAACACUUCAGUGGUUCUUUUCAAUGAGGUACAAAUUGCAUAGCGUGGUACAUAAAGGCCUUCAUCAUCAAUCUGUUUUUUUUUUUUUUUUUUUGCUUAACUGUAUGGCAUAACACAUAGAGUGCCCCUCAUGCAACAUAUGACACAAUUCUAUUGAUAAAAGAAUAAUUCCUCAAAGUACCUUGGUUUUAUUUCUUUAUUUGUGUUUUGUCUUUGGAAAACCUCUUUAUUGAAAGAUGUCUAUAUGUCAUUAUGUUCUUAGCUCAUGUUGUCACAUCUAUGAAGUCUCAUCUCUUGUUCCUAUAGAGCUUGACAGUUUUUUUUCUUUCUCUAACUUUUUAAUUUCUUAAUUGUUAAUAUUUUAAAAUAUGUAUAGUGUCUCAUUCCAUCACCUAGACUGGGGUGCAGUGGUACAAUCAUAGCUUGCUCUGGUCUUGAACAUCUGGGCUCAAGUGAUCUGCUGAGACCAGUUUGGUCGGGGAGACCCUAACCCAGUGGUGCUAGAAGAAUUAAAAACACACACACAGAAAUAUAGAGGUGUGAAGUGGGAAAUCAGGGGUCUCACAGCCUUCAGAGCUGAGAGCCCCGAACAGAGAUUUAGCCAUGUAUUUAUUAACAGCAAGCCAGUCAUUAGCAUUGCUUCUAUAGAUAUUAAAUUAACUAAAAGUAUCCCUUAUGGGAAAUGAAGGGAUGGGCCAAAUUAAAGGAAUAGGUUGGACUAGUUAACUGUAGCAGGAGCAUGUCCUUAAGGCACAAAUCUCAUGCGAUUGUCUGUGGCUUAAGAAUGCCUUUAAGCAGUUUUCUGCCCUGGGCGGGCCUUGUGUUCCUUGCCCUCAUUCCAGUAAACCCACCACCUUCCAGCAUGGGCGUUAUGGCCAUCAUGAACAUGUCACAGUGCUGCAGAGAUUUUGUUUAUGGCCAGUUUUGGGGCCAGUUUAUGGCCAGAUUUGGGGGGACUUGUUCCUAACAGUGAUCCUCCUGCCUCAGCCUCCUAAGUAGCUAGGACCACAGGCAUGCUCCACCUCUCCUGGCUACAUUUUGUUUUUUGGAGAGACAGGGUCUCACUAUGUUGCCCUGGCUGGUAUAGAACUCUUGGGCUCAAGUAAUCCUCCUGCCUUGGACUCCAAAAAUGCUGGGAUUAUAGACAUGAGUCACCACACCUGUCCCACCUGUCUACCACUUUUCUUUGAAGACCUACUCAUAUAUGCAUCUUUCAUAGCAUCUGAAGUAUUGGAUCACACUUUUAAUAUCCUUGUUAUUUUAUUAGACUAUGUUCCUUAAAGAUUGAGGCAUGUCUACUUCAUUUUGUUAUUUAUAGCAUCCUGCACAGUGUCUGACACUUAUUAAACAUUUGCUGAAUUGGUGAUGAAAUUAAUUAAUUUAGGGGAGCUUACUUAGUUCCAACUGCUAUCCUAAGUGACUAUAUAGAUAGAUAUGGAGUGACUAUUAUAUAAAUAUUAAACAAAAGGUCUCUGCCUUCAAGGUGGUUAUUGUUUAGUGGAGAAGAGGACAUGUAUAUGAAUAAAUAGAGUAACAGUAAAAAGUAGUUUGCUAUAUAGAACAUGUUAUGGUAUUUGAAAGGAAGGAGAGAUUACUCAAGAUGUUUCUCAGGACUGUCAGGUUUUACAUGGUGUUAAAAGAUGAAGUUACAUACUUCACUAUUAAAAAAUUCCUGUUCAAAAGAAAACAAAAGAAUAAAGUACAGAAAUCAAACUACCCCUUCUACAAGACUAAUAAGUACCUGUAACUGUGAAAACAGAGAGAGGGAGGGAGGGAGAGAGAGAGAGAGAGAAAGAGAGAAACAGAUAGAGACAGUUACAGAAAUGAUCAAAGAAUUAUAGAUACAGUGAAAACAUAGUAAAGAUGCAACAACUACCAAAUAUAGUCAUGUAGUCUAACAAAGUUCUUCUUGUUAAUCAUUGUAGCAAGGCUACAUGUAUGCACACAACUGGAAAAACUGGAGCAACUCAGAAUGGAAUGAGGUGUGUGUGGGGGUACUUGUUAUAGAAUUUGGGCUCAUGUUCAGUGAUUUUAGAGAGGGUUCCUGGAGGCUCAAUUGUUCUGGGUUUUGGUACUAUCAGAUAAUAAUGUAUCUUAAUUUUUUAUUUAGGGGGUGGAAGAAAGGAAGUGAGGCCAGAGUUGUCAUUAGUAGCGAAGCAGUUUUCAUUCACUUUACCCAGGAGAGAGAGCUAUUUGGCUUUUUUGUCAUGUUUUGGGAAGGAUCAGCAUUCAUUUCUUGUGGUUACUGCAACAAAUUUGUUAGUUUACACCAACAGAAAUUUACUUUCCCACAGUUCUGGUAGCCACAAAUCCAAAAUCAGUUUCACUGAGCUAAAAUCUAGAUGUCAGUAGAAUUGUGCUUCCUCUCUCCAGAGGCUCUGCCUCUUCUAACUCAUGGUGGCUACUGGCAGUCCUUGGCUUGUGGCCACAUCACUCAAAUAUCUACCAGAUAUCAUCUUCACACUGCCUUCUCCUCUGUGUUCCUGUGUCAAAUCUCCUCUAUCUCUCUUAUACAAAUACACGAGAUGACAUUUUAGACUCAUCUGGAUAGUCCAUAAUAAUUUUCUCAUCUCAAGAUCCUUAUCUUAAUCUCAUCUGCAAAGACCUUUUUUCUUUUCCAAAUAAAGUAACAUUUGCAGGUUAUAGGGAUUCGAAUAAGAGGGUACUGUUUAGUCCACUAGAGUGUCCUUUUGUUUUCUUGGCAUUCAGAUAUAAUUAUGAAAUAGUAUUGUUUUUAUCUUUCUCUAUCAUAGUCACUGUCAUGGCCAUUUCUUAUGUCGCAUGGGGAAGACCAUAUUUAGUUCUCUGUUACUAGCUGUCAGUUAUAGAACCAGUUUUUUUCAUUCUCAGGACAGAACAUAGGACUGAUAAAUUCAAGCACAAUGAAAUAAAAGAGAACAUAUAUUUAAUACAAUAAAAGAGAUUAAGAGCAAAGGAAAAUAUACAAUGACCAUCUAACAGGAAAAGUUGGUAUCUCUGAACAAGUAACAAAAUAAGAAAAAAAAGUAUUGUAAGUUGUAACUCAAGACAAAUAUGCAAGAAUAAAAUCAGACUUGAAUCAAAAAAUACUAAGAAAAUAAUUGGCAUCCAGUGGUCAAUGCCAAAAUUUUAUUGGACACUACAGAUAAAAAAUGAGGUAUACAUUAAAAAUAUGCAAAGUCACUUAUAAAUGAAAAUGUCAAGCUGAACUUAUACUUUCUAAGAAUAAUUUUCAAAGCUAGAGAAAAGUGGACAAAUACUUAUAUAGUCCUGUAGCAACUACAGUGCAAUUCAAGAAUGUUUAAAUGCAGCAAAAACAAAAUUUGAACAGGAAAAAAUUCAGAUAAUAUAGUAUUAUGUUGGUUUAUUUUAUAUGUCACUUGACUGGGCCACAGGAUGCCCCAAUAUUUAGGCUAACAUAAUUCUGGGUGUUUCUGUUUGGGUAAUUUUGAAUGAGAUUAACAUUUAUUUUAUUAAAAGAGCUAUUUUUAAAAAAUUUGGAAAAUAGAGCUUUAUUUCCCUUAAAGGAUUACAGCCUGCAUGCAAGGUGGCCAUUCUGACAGGCUGGAAAGCAUAGUCUCCAGUCAGAAAACAGAAACAGACACUUCAAUAAAGGGGCAAAGGGAUUGAAAAUUUAUCUCAGAAUGGGGUGUCCAAAUAUACAUAUGUAAUAAGCUACAAGAGAAGUCGUGAAUAUUUAUGAAAAAGGAAAGGUUCAUGUGCAAUUGCGCUUCAUGCCCCUUCAUGGGUCCCAUGUACAAAAAAUGGUAGUUAGCAUGAUCCCAGCAUGGAGUUUUGGACUCUCUGAUGUCAAAAGAUUAAGCAGAGGACAUGAAAAUCUUUAUUGUGCAUUCUCCAUAGACUGACCAGAACCAUUCUGUGUCUAGUAGUCUUUUAUCAGGCAAAAAUGCUGUGCAGUUGUAACAAAGCUGCAAAAGAGAGGAGCUCUCAGUGGUGCAGAAAGUCUUUUGAAAGGGCUGGUUUCUGUUUAGUCCUUAGAGAAGAAAGUCUAAUGGCAGUUAGUGAGGGAGAGGGUAUAAUGAGGCAUGUCUGACCUCAUAUCUUAUCAUGGCUAAGAACUUAGUUUUCAAAAUUUCUCUGGGUCCCUUUAGCCAAGGGAAGGCUUUUUCAGUCAGUUGGAGGGCUUAAUUUUAUUAAUAUUUUCAUUUGUCAUUUUCCUCCUUUUGGCCUGGAUUUGUUAGAGGCAGCAUCAAUGACCAAACUUGUAUUUUGUCCCAUAUUUCGGUUGAGGUAGUGUGGCUACCUUCCCUGGGUCCAUCCUGUUCCUCAGUGGGACCCGUAUGGCCACGAGAUUUAGAGUCAAAGGACUUACAACCAAUUAAAUGUUCCAGACCCAGCAGGAAUGGAAGUGAGCAGGCACCAAUCAACCCUUAAAAUCUGUUAAGCAACAUAGCAGCCAAAACCCAAAGCCAAAAAGCAAGGUUACAAGAUUGAAUUACCUAUAAAUUCUAUGCAGUAACCUACUGUAGUCUUGGUCUUAGGUAUAUACUUGAAGCAAUUAGCUAUAUAAAACAUAAGAAUUUUGCUAAAACUAUUUAAGCUGAGGAAUUUUAGAGACUUUUGUUGUGCUUCAAUGCUUUCUGCGAUCUCUGUAUUAAUUUGCUCUAAGGUAGAAAAUAAAUUUUUUCAUCCUAGCCCUAUUUGCAUAAGAGUUUAACAUUUAAAUUGAUCGACUGAAUAAGGCAAAUUGUCCUCUACAAUGUGAGUGUGUCUCUUCGUAUCAAAGGCCUAAAUAGAAUAAAAAUUUGACCCACCUCCUAGUAAGAGAGAAUUCUCCUGUCUGAACGCCUUUGCACCAGAAUGUCAGCUUCUCCUGGUUCUACAGCAACCUUCAUACUUAAAUGGGACAUUAGCUCUACAGAUCUAAGACUUGCCAUCUACCAUAAUCGUGUGAGCCAAUUUCCUUCUUUCUUUCUUUCUUUCUUUCUUUCUUUCUUUCUUUCUUUCUUUCUUUCUUUCUUUCUUUCUUUCUUUCUUUCUUUUUCUUUCUUUCUUUUUCUCUCUCUCUCGCUCUCUCCCUUCCUUCCUUCCUUCCUUCCUUCCUUCCUUCCUUUCUUUCUUUCGUUCUUUCUUUUGUCUAUUUUUCUAGAGAAUCCUAAGGAAUACAUACAGAUUCCAUAAUCCUGACUUAAAUUGCAGGAGAGGUUCAGGCAGGAAAUGGUUUGAGAAACUACACUGAAGGGUCUGAGGGUGAUAAUGUAACUCAUUUAACUAUAGGACAAGGCUAAAACUAAUGUAAGUAUUAUGGUUAUAAUAUAGAUUCACAUUUUAAAGUGUGUGCUGAGUAAAAAAGAUAAAAAGAACAAAAAUCAACUGGAGGAGAAAGAAUGAACCAGGGAGACAGUGUAAAUAUGCUAAUUUCUCCAUGUUUUAGAAGGAGAAACUAGAAGAUAUGUAUUAAAACUCACACAACGAAUAAUAGAAAUUUGUCUAUAUUUAUAGUAUAACCACUAAAAUAAAAAAUAAACUAAAACUGAGUGGUAGAGAGAAUGAGAAUAUAUAGAUGUGGAAAUAUAUGAAUUUUAUCUUUGUUCUUAGUAAAUUAAUAUAUAUUACUAAAAUAACAAAAUAAUGUAUUCUAAAUGUUAUACUUAAAUGUAGCCACUAGAACAAAAAUAUAAAUAUAUCAACAGAAACACAGAAUAUGUCAAACAUUUAGUGGAAGGUUUUUAAAAAAUCAAUAAAAAAUGAAGUAUAACAUAAAAUAUGAUGACAGAACUGAAACCGAAUAUAUUUUAUACUUAGAAAUUGGUGAAAUAAAUCUGUUUAAAAUGUACUGUCAUAAUGAAACACAAAGCAAAACCCAACUAAUAUGCUAAAAGAAGAUAAAUACCUAAAACAAAAUUAUCUACAAAGUUAAUUUUAAAAACUUGUCUCAGAGCAAGACCGACUCUCUGCAUGCCAUUAUUUGCAGAAUUCAAAAGAAGGCCCUGUUUUAGGAGUAAGGACCCACUACCUGAUACCUACAGGACCACAAAUCUCAACUAGCAUGAUUAACCCCAGAAGGCUUGACAUACCUGCCAAACUCUUGUUACAUUUCCUAGCUUCCAUCCUCAUAGCCAUGUCACCUCUAUCUAGCUUUGAAUCACCAGAACUAUUUUUGUUGUACCAUUAGUCACCCCUAUUUAUAUUAGCUCCAGGCAGUGGUAUGCUGGUAAAUGCUUCAUAAUAAGCUCUCUGAAAUAAAGUGUGUAUGUAUAUAUACACAUCUAUAUAUACAUAUACAUAUAUAUACAUGCUUUAUAUAUAUACACAUGUAUUAUAUAUAUAUACACAUGUGUGUAUAUAUAUCUGAUAUAUAAUAAGCUCUCUGAAAUAGUGUAUAUACUUUAUUAUACAUACACCAUAUGUGUAUUUAUAUCUGAUAUACAUACAUAUCAGAGUUUAUAAAAAUUUUACUAAUAAGAAAGAGAAGCAAUACACAAUUUAAAAAUAAUUAUAAAAACACAAUACUUUUUAAGUUCCACAUACUUAAUUGAUUUUCAUAGAAUGCUUUUGUCCAUUAUUGACAAAUGCUUUCAUAUAGCCUAUCUCUGUUUGAAAUUCAAACAUGAUUUCACAAAUGGAAUUGCUUCCCAAUCGUUUAACUCAUUAUCCAAUAAAUUUAUUUUCUUUAUAUUUCAUAUGUGUUCUACUGUUAAACUAAUUCUCACCUUCAAAAAUAUUAUGUUGAUUAAACUGAAACCUCUUUCACUUCAGCACUAUACAAGACACCUGUAUUAAAUUUUACUCCAUAUUUUUAUAAGUCUAGAAAAUCAACAAAACAAUGAAUAAAGCCUUAUCUGUUACAUUUAUCAAUUUCUUGCUAUUGUCUGUUUUAAUCAACCAAACCAACAUCACUGAACACAGAGUUUGGAAGAAGUGUGCAGUAGCUCACCACUGUAUAAUAUUCCUAUCAUACAGAUCAAAUAGAUGUAAAUAACCGUCAAGAGUAUAGAUAACAGUAAAAUGUAGUAACAUUAUUGGAAAGUAAUUACUUUUGAAUAUUUAUUCUUUCCCCUCUUAACAUGGUUUAUUUAAUUAUAAGUUUACAUAAGUUAACACUGAAUAAUGACCACAUUUAGUAACUGGUUCAUGAGAUUCCUGAAAAUUUCACACUUGGCUCUUGUGAGCUGCUAGAGUAUGAGCCUUUUAUGAGCUGACUCCAGCUCGCCACUGAACUCCAAAGUUGCUCCUCAAACUUAGGCACUCAUUCCCAUAUGGCUCUUGUAUAUAAUCUUUUCUGAUCCAUCCUGUAUCCUGAUCCAUUGCUUAACUCUCUUUCAUUCUGCCAUCUGAAACUCAAGAUAAGUCAUCAGCAAAAUUUCCUAUAUCACCAAUCACUUUGGGAUAGUAUUUUUAAAAAUUCAUUCUCUGACACCCAGCAUUUUCAUGAUGCCAUUGUUUGUCCUGCAGCUCUCUCAAGUGGUGAAUAAUUUUCUCCUAUAGUCCUUCUGCUACUGGGUCUAAAUGUAUGUAGGUAACUCCUCUUUAUUGUGACUUUCAUAACAUAUUUUCAUCUUCCUGAAAUGUUCAGCUUUAAAUCUCAUAUCAUCAAACUACACCUAAACAAUCUCACUUGUAAAUCCCAAGGCACUCCCAAUAAUUUCUUGAAAAUAAUAGUUCUCAAUUCAUUGUCCUUCUUCAACAUGGAAGGAACGUACAAACAUGCUGUCUAGUUCUAUGAUUCAUGACCAUAAAUUUCAAGUGAACUUCUAAUGCUACUCAGAAAUCAGAUUAUGAUUUCCUAGAUUAUUAAUUCUACCAUUCCCCAAGAGGCCUGCUUCUCACAUUUACCUCCUCAAACUUCCAACACUGUCUCCCCAAUGCUUACUCUCUACUAAUGACCGUGCUUCCUACCUAGAAGGCAGAGGAAAAGGAGGAGAAUGAGGAGGAGGAAAAGAAGAAGAAAGUAAAAGAAUCAGAAAGUAUCUCCUAUAAGCUGCCAGCACCAAAACUGCCCAUCUACCUGUAUCUGUAUUCCUGCUCUUACCAGAGAUGAAUUUUUCCUCUUCCUAUCUACAAUUUAAAGUUAAACACUCCACUUGUGUACUGGAUCUCAUUCUGUCUUGCCUACUCAAGGUCAUUACCCCAAGAAUUUUCUUCUCUUUCUGUCCUACAUCAUUAAUUUUUCCCUUCAUUUUGAGUCAUUCCAAUAAACAUAUAAACGUAAUGAUAUUUCUUCCCUCUUAAAAACUUUAUAAAUUAUUUUACUUUGCCUCCAGUUAUGGUUCAAUUUCCCUUUUGUCCAUUACAGAAAAAUUUUUUGAAAGAAUUUUGUCUGCUUACAGAGUUUUAUUUCCUCCUUACUCUCACUAAUCUCUUGAACACACAAGUCAGGAAAUGACCUUCAUAUCUCUAUAAAUUACUCUUAUUAGGGAUACCAAUGGCUCCUAUAUUGACAAUUCCUAUGGAAAAUUCACAGUCCUCCUUUUACUUGACUUUUCAGUAGCUCUUGACACAAUUGGUAAUUUUUUCUUGGCUUUGAUAAUACUGACCUCAUUUCCCUGCCUUUUUUUUUUUUUUUUGGUCAACUAUUCUGUGUCUCCUUUGCUUGUUAUGCUUGCUUUCAUCUUCCUCAUUUAUUACUUCUGGAGUGUUCAAGGCUUUGUUUCAAACUUAGUCUUUCGAUCUAUUCUCACUCUCUAUGUGACCUUUUCCAGUCUUAAGAUUUUAAAUGUUAUCUAUGCUGAUCCUAACCAAAAUUUUGUUACUAGCUCAGGAUUAAUACCUUGAACCUUAAAUGUGGCUUAUGAUCUUUGGGUAUCAAAAGGCAAAUAAGGCUUAUCAUCUUUUACACUAAGCUGCUGAUAUUGAUCCUCCCUCACCCAAACUUAUAUCUCCCAUAUCCUUUCCCUAUUCAGGUGACAGUUGCUCAUACCCUAAAGCUUGGUCAUUUUUUACUCCUCUUUUCUUCUCAUACUUCAACUCCAUUGGCCAAAUUCACCUUUAGCUCUAGUUUCACAAUAUUGCUAAAAUAAAAUUUCUUCUCAUUACUUCCAAUGCUACCACUUUGGUCUAAAAGCAUCAUCCUGAACUAUUGUAGAAGACUCUCCUUAACUAGUCUAUAUUAUCUACCCUUGAUCCAUUUCCUUCUAUUCUGAAUAUAGCUACUAUUAAAGAUAAAUUAUUCACCAGAUACAUGUUGAAAACACCAAGACAGAUCUUAUUCUGAAAUAAUAAGGGUUGAAAUUUGAAAUUACUCCUUCAUCUACGCAGAAUAAAUGUGUUAGCAAGCAUAAAAACAUUAAUCUUCUUGUACAUUCCCAUCAAAACUCUUGAAAGACUAGGGUACAUGAUCAAUGAACAGUAAUAUUUUGAAAGGAAUACUUUUUUCUGAGCAGUAGGUCUCAAUAGAAGGGUUAAAAUAUUUGUUAAACCAUGCCGUAAACAGACAUGCUCUCCUCCAGCCUUUGUUGUUCCAUUUGUAGAGCGUAGGUUGGGUAGAUUUAGCAUAAUUCUUAAGAACUCUAGGAUUUUUGGAGUUGUAAAUGAACACUGGGUUCAACUUAAAAUCACCAACUGCAUUAGCACCUAACAAGAGUCAGCCUGUCCUUUGAAGUUUUAAAGCCAGGCAUUGACUUCUCUCUACCUAUUAAAGUCCUAAAUGGCAACUUCUAAUAUAAGGCCGUUUUGUCUACAUGGAAAAUUUGUUGUUGAGUGUAGCCACUGUUACCAGUGAUCUUAGCUGGAUCUUCUGAAUAACUUACUGCAGCUUCUACAUCAGCAGUUACUUCUUUGCUUUACACUUUUAUGUUAUGGAGAAAGCCUCUUUUCUUAAACAUAAUGAACCAACCUCUGCUAGCUUCAAACUUUCUUUUGAAGUUUCCUCAGCCUUCAUAGAAUUGAAGAGUUAGGGCCUUGCUCUAGUUUAGGCUUUGGCUUAAGGGAAUAUUGUGACUGGUUUGAUAAUCUGUUCAUACCACUAAAACUUUCUCCAUAUCAACAAUAAGGCUGUUCUACUUGUUUUCAUUCACGUGUUCACUGGAGUAGCUCUCUUACUUUCCUUCGAGAACUUUUCCCUUGCCUUCAUAACUUGCCUAACUCUUCGGCACAAAAGGCCUAGCUUCAGCCUGUCUUGGCUUUGAUAUGUCUCUCUAGAGCUAGAAAAGCUAGCUUUGAAUAGCUAGAAAUUAUUAAGCUUAAUCUAUUUCUAGCUUUUGAUUUAAAGUGAAAGAUGUGAGACUCUUCCUUUUACUUGACCAUUUAGAGGAUAUUGUAGAGUUAUUAAUUGCCUUAAUUUAAAUAUGGUUGUGUUACAGGGAAUAGGGAGGGCCAAAAAGAGAAAGAGAAACAUGGGAAUGACUGGCUGGUAGAGCAGUCAGAACACACAAAAUGUUUAUCAAGUUUGCUAUCUUACAUGAACAGUGUGUGGCAUUCCAAAACAACUACAAUAGUAACAUCAAAUAUCAUUUAUCACAGAUCUCCAUAACAGAUAUAACCAUAGUGAAAAUGUAUGAAAAAAUUGUGAGAAUUUCUAUCAUGUGACACAGAGACAUGAAAUGAGCACAUACUAUUGGAAAAAUGGUGCAAUAGACUUGCUCAAUGCAUUGUUGCUACAACCUGUCAAUUUGUAACAACCACAGUAUUUGUGAAAUACGAUAAAGUAAAGCACUAUAACAUGAGGUAUCCCUGUAUAAAGAUGUGCCAUUUAAUAGAGAGAGAAAAAAGAAGCCACGUGAGGCUCAUGCUCAUUCCACUGUGUGUAAAUUGGUUAUCUGAAUCCUGCUAUUGAAAUCAGAGUUUAUAAGGAACCACAGGAUAUUCCAUGUAUUUGUGUAAUUUCUGGAGUAUAUUAUACAGGCACAUUGUAAUACAAUUACAUUGUAGGUGUGAAUGUCUUGGUUUUGCAUAUUCAAACAAUAUUUUAGAUUCUUACCCUUUUUAUUUCCUUUACAAUAUUGCAACCUACAGUCCUUUUGAUUUGGGAUAAUUUUCCUGUACUAAAUGUCUUUAAUUCAGUUAGUAUAUUAUAAUUUAUGAAUCCAGAGACUAGAAUUUUAAAAGAAGAUCAUUGGAAAUUUCACAAAGUAGAUACAUUGUAGGUAGAAAAUUGAGUUAUUUUUGUUACUACUUUCUGUAAACCAUGAGACACAAUAAAACAAAGGUUAGAUAAUGGUAUAAGAAUUUAUAAUUUUGUAUCCAGUGAAGCCUAGAUUUCAAUGGAGGAAUUAUAAACAGGAGAUUUGAACACAUUACUUUGCCAGAAUUUUCUCCUUGGUACAUUAGUCACAGAGUUCUUUAGCUAGAUAUAAGAGAAUACUUGUAGUUUAGCAAUAUUCUGUCAUGGCAUAUAUUAAUACUUCAUUACAUUGUCAAAUUGUCAUUUUAAACAGUAUUUUCACAGGACAUAAUUUAUACUUUGUACUACUUUAUGAGAUUAUGCACUCAUGUCAGCUUUUCAGAAACAGAACAUUUCUACCUACAAGAAUAUGAAGUACCUUUGAUUUUUUUUCAAAGUUCAGAGAACAUUUUUUCUCAUUAGAUGUUCUCCAAUGUCCUUAACUUUGACAUGCUUUCAAUUUUCUUUGCAUGCUGAGAAGGAUCAAAGCCAAUAUUUUUAUCACUCUGGUAUGUGUCCUGAGUUUCUGUUCCUAAAAAAGUAAAAUUCCCUUAAAAUAAAAUGUCACAAUGAAGUUGGUUAAAAUUAUAGAGUUUUAAUUUUAAGACAACUAAUUUUCACUAAAGCCUUCUACAAUUUUUUUCUUACUUUUUCCAGGUUUUCUCUGCUGAAACAUAAUAGAAACCUUGCCAUUUGUAUGUACAUAUUUUAAAUCAACCUAUAUUGUAUUUCUGUAAAAAAAUUACCUUUUAGUCUUUUUAUAUUAUUCAAAUUCUUAAUUUUUAAAAAAGUUUACAAAGUACCUUUAGUUUUAAUAGAGCAAAUAUUUUCUCCCGUUCAGUGGUUGUCUAUACCCUUUCAUGAUGAUAUACUUUAAAGUCCAAAGCAUUUUAAUUUUGAUAAACUUCAAUUUACCUUUUUAUUUUGUAGCUUGUCUUUUUUGUGUUGUUUCUAACGACACAUCAUUGUUGAAUCCAAAGUUAUGAAAUUUACUCUUCUGCUUUCUUUUAUGGGUUUUUAUAGUUUUAGCACUUAAGUUUAGCCUCUGAUCCAUUUUGAUUUAGUUUUAUAUGUCAAGUGUGCUAGGAGACCAUCUUCAUUCUUUUGCAUGUGGAUAUGCAAUUGUGUCAGAACCAUUUGUUCUGAACUGAAUGGUGUUGGUACAUUAACAAUGAAAAAAAAAAAAUCCCUGCACUUUCUCUUUCUAGUCUUUCAAUUGUAAACAUUGACUUAUUCUGAAUAUAUCUCAAUGAAACUGAAACAUGUGAUUCAUAUGCUGCUUCAAAACCACUUUACUCCUUAACAUAUUAUUUUGCCUUUGCAAUAUAAUAGCAAUUUUAUAUAAUACAUAUAGAUAGGAUUGUUUUGAUAGUGACAAAUUCAGAAUCAGUAAGUCACAUUUAUAAAGGAAAGAUAAGUGAAUAGUGAUGGAAUAGACUGAAGUACAUUUAUUUUUUGUAUUGUAAUUGCUUUGCUAAGUAAUCAGUUACAAAGUUUUUGAAUUAACUAUAGAAAUAUUAAAAAACUGUUCUUUUGGGGAUCAACUGAUUAAUCACAAGUUGCAUCAUUUAUCAGUUUGAUUUUUAAAAAGUUGCUGCUAAGUGGAGACAAUAAAAUAAUUUAUCUUAGUAGAUAUGAGAAAUAUUAUAAACUUACAUGAAUUUAGAAAUAGUUUCUAAGGUAGAAAGAAAAAAUACCUACCCCUGAAUUUCAUUUUGUUAUUUAUUCAUCCAGUUUUAUGACUAUAUUAGUGGAUAAACUAGAAAAAUGAACAAACUCUAGUUUUCUUUGUGAGAAGCAGAACCAGAUGAGUCCCCCUUUGACUGUCACUAUAUGCUCGCAACUGCCAAAUAUAGUGGCGUUUUCUCAGACUUUAUUUCAGGUCGAGUUCCUGAGAUAAGAGACGCCAAAAUGGAAAUUUGUGUGUAUGACUUUACUGAGUAGUUCUCCAGGGAAUGAUCUCUAUUAGGAAAUAAGGAAGGUAAGAUUAGGCAGAGGAAGAAGUUUAACUGCUGUACUGUUACUACAAAGGCCUCAGCCAAUUUCAUAGCAAGUUCUGAAGCUGGAGCCAGGGUUUGUACUCACUUAUUAGCAAGUCCUUGGAUGUGAGAUGCAUCUGCAGAAGGGGCAUAACCUUGGACAAGGCAGCAAUCUUUGGGCAAGGACAAUUAUUUGGGGAUGGAGUUAGGUAUGAGCCAUUGGAAAGCAAUCUUUCUAGCAGCUAGGUGAAUUAGGACCUUGCUUCUAAGAAAUACCAAGCAGCAUGCCACCUCAGCAAUAUACAUUUCCAAUCCCCCUUUGCGCUACUCAGAUCUAUAUAUUAACUUCAUUCUUUCUGGAAAUAUCUCCUAUAUCAUUCUUGUUUCUUAGAGAAACAUACAGAAAUAAUAUUAGUAGGAGCAACUACAGCCCUGUCACUGCCAAGUGGUUUCUGGGCCAUGAUGACACUUAUUAUCUUCUUCCACUACUACUUUCUGUAUGCUAACAGCUCUGCUGGUGUAUUUGUCUUACCUGGCGGGGUAAUACAUAGCCUCAUCCUUAAAAGCUUUGAGCUACCAUGUAUUUGUGUUGUGUUAUAGGCUGUACCAAGAUCUGUAAUUCUGAAAAGAAUCUGCAAUUGAGAAUGCUUCUUGGAUGAAUUUGUGAUAAUCCAUUGUUAUCCUUCAGGAUCUCUCUGGGCUUUUGUUGUAGGCAAAUUCAUGAAUUAAUUGGGGAUAAAAAUGGUGGCUACUACCACCGCACCCUUUUAGAUCUUUAAGAGUUGCAUUAAUUUCUGCUGUUUUCUCCAGGAAGUUACAUUGUUUUUGGCUUCCUGACUUGACAGGUGGGCAGUUUCAAAGCUGCAGAUUGGCCUUCUGUACUAUGACAGAACUUACCCCAUAAUCCAGUUUUCUAGAAGAAGCCAGGUCAUGGGCAGUCUUAUGGGAUGACCCACAAGGCUUCCUGGCUUGUGAUGAAAUGGGCUGCUGUGAAGUUUUGUGGUCAUUAAAGUCUCAGCAUUAUAAUAUUCUAAGCACAUGAUAUACAUUCAUACUUUGAGGCGGCUGGCAAGAUGGCGGAAUAGGAACAGCUUUGGUCUGCAGCUCCCAGCAAGAUCAACCCAGAAGGCGGGUGAUUUCUGCAUUUCCAACUGAGGGGAAGAAUCACAGAAUGGUUACUUACCUCCACAAAGGAGUUCAGAAGCCUAUAUACCAUCCUGGCUAACAGGUUAUGGAAAGGGGAAGAAGAGGAAUUCUGUUGGGGGGCAAUAAGUGAUUACUAGGAAGAAUGAAUGAAUUGGGAAGCAGAGAUUAAUUGGAGGAGGUUUUAUAAGUGUGGUUGGUCUCCUUACUGACAUGUCAACUACAAAUGCACGGGGUUCUGCCUGAAAUGUUUUAGUUGUUGCAGAUGUGUAGCUUCUAUAUGUAAAGUCUUCACUGCAUGUGCUACAGAAACUUGAACUAUCUGAAGAGAGGAUGGAGUCAUCAGAUACUGGGGUAAUUUAAAAACCAAAAUAAAUGCCUUGAGAUCUUUUCUGGGAAUGAAAAAAUACAAAGACAAGCUAAGAAGCUGGAGCAGGAAAUUGACUUUGAACUCUGCUUGGAGAAUCACCAGCUACAAAACCGUGUGGGACAAAUUUCUCAUAAGAGUAUAGAGGAUGUGACACUGUACAGAGUUCACACUCAUGACUCAAUGAUGAAAUGGAAACCAGGAAGACUUGAUUAUGAGUCGGAGGGAAUCAUUGCUGUGAGAAGCUGACAGUGGUGGAUGACAAGCCUGAAUUUCCAGAGGAAAUAGGUUCUGGAAAAGAAGUGAAAUCAUUAGAAAGGUGUUCUAAGCAUGUUUCUAGCCUGAAGGGGAGCAGCAAUCAUCAGCAAUCUAAUAAUAAAACUAGUAUUCAAGAGAUCCGAUAUUGGUAAAAGUAUGCUGAAAGUAAACUUACGUGAUAACCCAGCUUCUCACAAUAGGAGUGGAAGUGUGACCAGGUUGAUUUGCCAGAAUAUGCUGACACAGACAGAAAGAAGAAGAUAAGACCUACAUCUCUUGGAGGAAACAAUUAGUGAUUUGGCCUCUGUGCUGAUCUGAAUCGGGUGAAGAAUUCAACAGAAUUUGUGAUGAACUUGUUCCACGGAGAGGAAAAGAAGAAUUCUAUGCACACAACAGUAGAAGGAUGUAUGAAGAUGGAGAGAGGCAUUUCUGGAUAACAGAGUUGGCCUAACUGCUUCUUACCCAUUCAGGAGGCUUGAACAACAAACCAAACUUCAAAUAGGCAGGAUAAGUUAAGAAGAAAGCAAAGCAAAUAGUAUCUUCAAGGGCUGUCAUUGUCAGCCAUUAGCAGGAGAUAACCAGCUGCUAAAUAAACCCAAAUGCCUCCUUAUAUUCUUCAGGAACCCACUGGGGAAGGAGUGCAACAAACUAUUCAAGAAGCAAAGAGCAGACUCAGCACCAGCAACUGAGUGAGGCAACUUAUCAGACCGGGUGCCGGGAGCCAGGAGAAGCCAGGGAACAGGAGCCGACGCUUCCAAGCCUGCAGAGGCAGGGUGCUCCUCAGCCCCCUGAGAACACAGGGA
Long non-coding RNA from Symphalangus syndactylus (siamang), 21536 nucleotides. RefSeq lists it as uncharacterized. The record is from RefSeq and is a predicted model, not a curated record. Lineage: Eukaryota; Metazoa; Chordata; Mammalia; Primates; Hylobatidae.